Molecule: non-coding RNA, 1977 nt
Organism: Vicugna pacos (alpaca)
Lineage: Eukaryota; Metazoa; Chordata; Mammalia; Artiodactyla; Camelidae
Source: RefSeq, a predicted model, not a curated record
CUAUAUGACUGAACCACUUUGCUGUACACUUGAAACUAAUACAAUACUGUAAAUCAACUAUACUUCAAUUUUUUUUAAUUUAAAAAUUAUUUUUAAAGAAGUUCGUAACAGCCAAGAAGGAAACACCUCAAAAACACCUUUCUAUUACUAAACCCAAUCUCAGUGAUUUUGGUGUCUCUUUAACUCUAGUAAUAUUUAUUCAGUUAAGGUCUGCUUUGAUUUACACCACCUUUUGUUUGGUUUAUAUUUACCAGGUAUGUCUUUUUCCAUUCUUUUACUUUUAGCCUUUCCUUAUAUUUAAAUGGUUUUGUUUGAAAACAGCAUAUAGUUGUUUUAUUUUUAAGUCUAGCCUGACAGUCUUUGCCUUUUCCUUGGGGAGUUUUGUCCACUUACACUUAAUUUAAUGUAAAAUGUAGUCAGGUUUAAGCCUAUCAUAUUGCUGUUUGGUUUUCAUUUGUCCUAUUUGUUCCUUUAUCCCUUCUUUCUUGCCUUUUUAAAAAAAUUGGGUAUUUUUUCCAUUUUUUUCUCCAUUAGCAACCCAUACAUUCUGAGAGUCUAGGACCAUAUUCUCUUCUAAAGGAAAAUUAGAGCACACGGCCUGACGCGUCUCCAGGCUCUCCCUGUGGCUGCAGCAGGCUUUGAGUAGCUGCGCUCUGCCCUGCGGAUCUACUUGGGAGAGCUGUCUGAGGAGACCUCGGAGUUGGGGGCAAGCGGUGGGUGGGUGGAGCAGCUGGAGUCAUGGAGGAGCCAGGGCAGAACCAGGGUGAGCUGCAGUGUCCACAGGGGACAAGGACUCUCAGGACAAGGGGAGGCCAGGCUGAGACGUGUCCCCACAGAGCUGUUGGACGCCGUCUGGCUGCGUCUGCCUUCCUGCCUCAGCCCCUCCACUGGGUGAGGUGAUUCUUGAGCUUGUGUCCUGAGCCAAGUCCAUCCAGCUGGUGGGCCAUGAAAUGGCAGACAGGGUGGGCAAGCCACUCCUGUCCCUCCUCCUCGUCCUUGUCGCUCUCCUCCCCUUCAACUGCAGGUUGAAAAUUUCACAGGUUACCAGGAAAACAACCACAGAGCCGUUUACCCAGGAGUCUGGGGGCCCCUGGGGUCGGGGAGCACAAGGAAACACUUACAGCACAUUCCGUGCGUCUGUCUGGGUUCUAGGGGCAUUGCCAGUAUUGGUUACCGUCCAAGAGAAUAGACGUGUUGUUAGUCUUUAUCCCAUUUCACAGAGGCAGUGGAGGGGCUAGGAGCUGCCCAAGGGAGAGCUGAGGCGGGAUCUGGGCAGUUAAACCCCGUGGCCUCAAACCAGCUUCUUCCCACGGUGGCCACAUGGCAGAGAGGGUUCUCCCCAGCACCCCUCCCAGACGCCCCUCCUUGGAGGCCCUGCUGUGUUUGCCUGAGUCUUUGCAAUAUGGGCUGUGAUUUGUGUGUAAUGGACAAAGUGAGCUGAGAGACUCACCAAAAGUUGCAAAACUAGUAUAGAGAGGUCCCGUGUACCCACCGCCAGCGCCCCACAGUGGUAACGUCUGACACGACCAAGGUGCCGCCAGCUCGGUGGGGAGCCCGGAGGCACGAUGAGCCAGACUGCGACCGUACGUGGGUGUCACCAGCUCUGCACACACUCGUUUUUUUAAAAUGCUUCUGCAAACCAGAGUCACAAGCCAUCAACAGACUCCAGAGUUCCCAAAUGGCUACAUCAGAGGAUUCUGCCCCUGCAGUUGAUGUCCUGGUGGGAGACAGAGUCUCACCUCUCACCUCCUACUCCACCAUCUGCCCCUUGUCCUGUGGCUCUUGUGCUCUUUGUACAGAGUGACACUAAUUCUUUAAUAUGAAAGCCUGGUAUAAAGAGUGUUUUUCUGUUGGGCUGUCAUUGCCUCUGAGCUUUCUCAGGGGACAGAGAUAGGGGAUGCGUCUGUGCUGAGGCAGGUCUUCUAGAAGUCCUUCCAGUGUGGUUCUCUUGCUAGUAAAGUCUCUCAGUUGUUAAUU